AUGCAAAGGUCCAGAACCACAGAAAGGGAAGCCUCUGGCAGCAAGAGGUAGGGAUGGGAGUGGGUGCCUGCAUCUAUUCUGAAAACCCUGGAGACUGCAGCCCAAAUGCACUGCAUGAGCCAGGCUCUGGAGUCAGGCCUACGAGCCUUCUCUGGGAACACAUGAACUUCAUUACAGCCCCAACUCCACAUAUACUCCCCACCUCCCAUUGGCUCAGGGCUAUGUGGGAGGAGCCUCCUGAAGCCCAAUGCUCUUGUCCCAGCCUAUCAACUCCCAUUCUGUGACCUAGAGCCACUCUGACCUCAGAGGAAAAUGGAGCUGGGUGGGGAGAGUAAGACAAGAUGAGAUGUACCCUCAUCUGCUUUGCUAUGUGAGGACACAGUGAGAAGCCAGCCAUCUGCAAAUCAGGAAGAGCCUUCAACAGAUACCCAAUCUGCUAGGACCUUGAUCUUGGACUUCCCAGCCUGUAGAACUGUGAGAAAUAAAUGUUUGUUGUUGAAGCCA
Molecule: long non-coding RNA, 504 nt
Organism: Pteropus alecto (black flying fox)
Lineage: Eukaryota; Metazoa; Chordata; Mammalia; Chiroptera; Pteropodidae
Exons: 2
Source: RefSeq, a predicted model, not a curated record